AACGAACGCUGGCGGCAGGCCUAACACAUGCAAGUCGAGCGCUCACUUCGGUGGGAGCGGCGGACGGGUUAGUAACGCGUGGGAACGUGCCCUUCUCUACGGAAUAGCCAUUGGAAACGAUGAGUAAUACCGUAUACGCCUCGGGGAAAAGAUUAUCGGAGAAGGAUCGGCCCGCGUUAGAUUAGAUAGUUGGUGGGUAACGGCCUACCAAGUCUACGAUCUAUAGCUGGUUUUAGAGGAUGAUCAGCAACACUGGGACUGAGACACGGCCCAGACUCCUACGGGAGGCAGCAGUGGGGAAUCUUGGACAAUGGGGCAACCCUGAUCCAGCCAUGCCGCGUGAGUGAUGAAGGCCUUAGGGUCGUAAAGCUCUUUCGCCUGUGAAGAUAAUGACGGUAGCAGGUAAAG
RNAcentral lists this ribosomal RNA (408 nucleotides) under uncultured bacterium. Its description in RNAcentral is "bacterial SSU rRNA". It matches the Rfam family "Bacterial small subunit ribosomal RNA", at positions 29 to 487 of the family's 1533-position model. The record is from RNAcentral.